CAGCCGCCACGGUAAUACAGAGGGUGCAAGCGUUAAUCGGAAUUACUGGGCGUAAAGCGCGCGUAGGUGGUUUGUUAAGUUGGAUGUGAAAUCCCCGGGCUCAACUCGAAGUCUGCAUCGAAAACUGCCGGGCUUGAGUGUGGGAGAGGUGAGUGGAAUUUCCGGUGUAGCGGUGAAAUGCGUAGAUAUCGGAAGGAACACCUGUGGCGAAAGCGGCUCACUGGACCAUAACUGACGCUGAUGCACGAAAGCUAGGGGAGCAAACAGGAUUAGAUACCCCCGUAGUCCCUGUCUCUUAUAC
This 301-nucleotide ribosomal RNA is filed under the name uncultured bacterium. RNAcentral describes it as "partial 16S ribosomal RNA". It matches the Rfam family "Bacterial small subunit ribosomal RNA", at positions 509 to 807 of the family's 1533-position model. The record is from RNAcentral.